This 87-nucleotide small RNA is filed under the name Bacillus solimangrovi. Its description in RNAcentral is "BsrC". It matches the Rfam family "BsrC". Rfam says of the family: The 301 nucleotide sequence from Kouji Nakamura has been trimmed to a highly conserved ~85 nucleotide long core to form this family. The record is from Rfam by way of RNAcentral. Lineage: Bacteria; Bacillati; Bacillota; Bacilli; Caryophanales; Bacillaceae.
AAAUUCUUAAACGACGUAAGCCCUACCUCUCUUACAUCCUUACGGCUCCGAAGCCGUGCCAGUGUGAAUAAGUUUUGUUCAAAUAUA